ACGGGAGGCAGCAGUGGGGAAUAUUGGACAAUGGGGGAAACCCUGAUCCAGCGACGCCGCGUGAGUGAAGAAGUAUUUCGGUAUGUAAAGCUCUAUCAGCAAGAAAGAAAAUGACGGUACUUGACUAAGAAGCCCCGGCUAACUACGUGCCAGCAGCCGCGGUAAUACGUAGGGGGCAAGCGUUAUCCGGAUUUACUGGGUGUAAAGGGAGUGUAGACGGCGAUGCAAGUCUGAAGUGAAAGCCCGGGGCUCAACCCCGGAACUGCUUUGGAAACUGUAUAGCUAGAGUGCAGGAGAGGUAUGUGGAAUUCCUAGUGUAGCGGUGAAAUGCGUAGAUAUUAGGAGGAACACCAGUGGCGAAGGCGACAUACUGGACUGUAACUGACGUUGAGGCUCGAAGGCGUGGGGAGCAAACAGGAUUAGAUACCCUGGUA
This 434-nucleotide ribosomal RNA is filed under the name uncultured Clostridium sp. RNAcentral's name for it is "partial 16S ribosomal RNA". It matches the Rfam family "Bacterial small subunit ribosomal RNA", at positions 341 to 792 of the family's 1533-position model. Lineage: Bacteria; Bacillati; Bacillota; Clostridia; Eubacteriales; Clostridiaceae. The record is from RNAcentral.